RNAcentral lists this ribosomal RNA (253 nucleotides) under uncultured prokaryote. Its description in RNAcentral is "partial 16S ribosomal RNA". It matches the Rfam family "Bacterial small subunit ribosomal RNA", at positions 524 to 776 of the family's 1533-position model. The record is from RNAcentral.
UACGGAGGGUGCGAGCGUUGUUCGGAAUCACUGGGCGUAAAGGGCGUGUAGGCGGUCCGCUAAGUCUGAUGUGAAAGCCCGGGGCUCACCCCCGGAAGUGCAUUGGAAACUGACGGACUCGAGUCCCGGAGAGGAGGGUGGAAUUCCUGGUGUAGCGGUGAAAUGCGUAGAUAUCAGGAGGAAUACCAGUGGCGAAGGCGGCUCCCUGGACCGGUACUGACGCUGAGGCGCGAAAGCGUGGGUAGCAAACAGG